UGUCAGCAGCCGCGGUAAUACGGAGGAUGCAAGCGUUGUCCGGAUUCAUUGGGUUUAAAGGGUGCGUAGGCGGAGAAUUAAGUCAGUGGUGAAAGCUUACAGCUUAACUGUAAAAAUGCCAUUGAAACUGAUUUUCUUGAGUUCGAUUGAGGUAGAUGGAAUGUAUCAUGUAGCGGUGAAAUGCUUAGAUAUGAUACAGAACACCAAUUGCGAAGGCAGUCUACUAAGUCGAUACUGACGCUGAGGCACGAAAGCAUGGGGAGCAAACAGGAUUAGAUACCCUGGUAGUCCAUGCCCUAAACGUUGAUUACUCGUUGUUGGCGAUAUACUGUCAGCGACUAAGCGAAAGCGUUAAGUAAUCCACCUGGGGAGUACGAUCGCAAGGUUGAAACUCAAAUGAAUUGACGG
This 408-nucleotide ribosomal RNA is filed under the name uncultured Bacteroidota bacterium. RNAcentral's name for it is "bacterial SSU rRNA". It matches the Rfam family "Bacterial small subunit ribosomal RNA", at positions 506 to 916 of the family's 1533-position model. The record is from RNAcentral. Lineage: Bacteria; Pseudomonadati; Bacteroidota.